UACAGAGGGUGCAAGCGUUGUUCGGAAUUAUUGGGCGUAAAGGGCGCGUAGGCGGUGCCACAAGUCACCUGUGAAAUCUCCGGGCUUAACUCGGAGCCUGCAGGCGAAACUGUGGUGCUGGAGUGUGGGAGAGGUGCGUGGAAUUCCCGGUGUAGCGGUGAAAUGCGUAGAUAUCUGGAGGAACACCGGUGGCGAAGGCGGCAUCCUGGACCGACACUGACACUGAGGAGCGAAAGCCAGGGGAGCAAACGGG
Molecule: ribosomal RNA, 253 nt
Filed under: uncultured bacterium
Lineage: Bacteria
Description: partial 16S ribosomal RNA
Rfam family: Bacterial small subunit ribosomal RNA
Source: RNAcentral